UUGAGCAUUUGCCCAAGAAUAUACUGAUUGAACCAGCGUUAAAACUGUUUAAAAUAAAAAUUAUUGAAGUGAGUUAAAAAAGUAAAUUAAAUUAAGUAAAUUAAAGGACUACAUAAUCAAGGUCAAUUAUUAUAGGAUGAAAAUACGGAAUUCUUUGUUAUUUGCUUAUAUUAUGUAUUUGGUUAUGCCAUCCUAAAAAUUGAAGAAAAUCUUGGAAUUUUUUCAGAGGGAUUUAUGAAUAUAAAUUCAGCAACAAGGAACAAAAGGAAGGAUUGAGUAAAAAUACCUAACUUUGAUUAUAAAUUAAGCGUCGUAUAUAAUUUAUAAAAAUUGAAAAUUUU
This is a long non-coding RNA of Leptopilina boulardi, 341 nucleotides long. RefSeq lists it as uncharacterized. Lineage: Eukaryota; Metazoa; Arthropoda; Insecta; Hymenoptera; Figitidae. The record is from RefSeq and is a predicted model, not a curated record. The transcript is spliced from 3 exons.